ACCUUCGUGGUGUAGUGAUCAGCACACUGGGCGCGUAAUCCAGAGAUCCGUGGUUCGAGUCCCGGCUAGGGCA
This 73-nucleotide transfer RNA is filed under the name Stegodyphus mimosarum. It matches the Rfam family "tRNA". Rfam says of the family: Transfer RNA (tRNA) molecules are approximately 80 nucleotides in length. Their secondary structure includes four short double-helical elements and three loops (D, anti-codon, and T loops). Lineage: Eukaryota; Metazoa; Arthropoda; Arachnida; Araneae; Eresidae. The record is from Rfam by way of RNAcentral.